AUGGCAAAUGGCGUUUAUUGUCAAGUAGCACAGCAUUAUAUGGCUUGGGUUUUACAACGUCACUUCCGCCCGCUUACAUCAUAAGCGAAGUUAAACGCUAUUGGCUAUCAGAAAGGUCAGGGGAGGGGCUCUCUCUUUCCGUACAGCGCGAUGUCUUCCGGCCGCCGGACCCUACCUACCUACAUUCCCCCCUCCUUAUGCAAAAUUAAAUUGGCUAAAAUAUAACGAUCUUAAAAAAUAUAUCGUAAACUCGGAUACAAACGUACCAAACGUAUGCUGUUCUCAUUCUAUGUUCUAUAACAACCUCGAAAUACGUAUCACAAACUUGAAUAGAAAACGUAAGGCACGCUAAGUGAAAGGUAACCGGGAGGUGACUGGGAGCAGUGGGGUACAAUUGGGGGUAGCUAAAGGAAACUCUAAACAAAAACACUUUUAAGGCAAUUGUCGGCGUUCUAUUAACAGAAUGUUAACUUCUUCUAGCCGGUUCUUAACAAAUGAUAUGAGCUUGUUCAAUAUACAGGGUCCAAAACCCAAUGCUAUCACGAUCAUUGCGAUUGGUCCUAUCAAGGUGGAUACCAGGGUGGUCAGCCAUGGUGAAUGGUUAAACCAUGACGUAAACCAACUUUGCCGUGCCUCUCGUUCCCUUUUUUGUUCUUCUAAACCUUCUCGCAAUUUGGCCAUAGUGUCUCUUACCGUUCCGCUGUGGUCCGCACACACACAACGCUCUUCCCCUAGUGUGGCGCACGCUCCCCCUUGCCGUACAAACAUCAGGUCUAAUCCUCUUCGAUUUUGCAACACUACUUCAGAUAGUGAUCUGAUUGAUUUCUCUAAUGCACUUAUCGAUUGUUCAAUUCUAGCUGAGUCUUCAUCUACCGCUGUCCUCAAUGUGCUCAAUGCUUUAUUCUGUUGCACCGAUGCCACUCCUGUACCCACUCCCGCACCUCCUAUGAUCACAAGAGUAGCUAUUGUCAAUGCUGUAAAGGGUUCUCGUUUUGAUGAUGUUCUAAGGGAAUUUGUGAGUCACAGGCGUAGGCAAAGUCUUCGGCACGGUAAAAGAUUUUUGGGACUAUAGUUACCUGGACCCAACAUUCUGAGGCUUUAUUAAAUUUGCCCAACGACAAACGAGGUGUAAUUCCCAUCAUAGAACAAACCAACUCGGUAUUGUUGGCCGGAAUUAACCACCUUGCAGAGGUUUCUUGUGUCUUAUUGACACACAGUUGUUGUUUUGUGCUCUGGGACUUUACCUACACACACACCACUACCUACCACGUGCGCUAAUGUAAUCCCUUGUUUUUCUGUGUCCCGUUUACAUUGGGUCGGAUUUGUUUCAUGUGUAUACGUGGGGGUGUCGCUCGCUCCUACAGCCUCAUAAAAGGGUGGUUUCAUGCUGUAGCACAACCAACAACGCUCCGUAAGAUUCGGGUGAGUUUCGUUCAGUAAUUGCUCGCAUCGUUUUUCAGAGAGGGUUUCCAUCAGAAAUUUGGGUGCUGCGUGUCGGUACAGGUGCGGUAACUCCGGCAUUAUUCACGAUUGAUUUUGAUAGAGGCGUGCUCAUUUGUGGGUUAAGAAUCGGGUCAGGCCCGACCGCCUGGGGUGCUUGUGGCAGCAGUUUAAUGAUUUGUAUCACUACUCCUACGUCGGUAAAAGCUUUGUGAAUGAACACUGACCACACUUUUCCCACGGCCCAACCCUUAUCAGUCGGGUUUUUGAUUUCUAAAAUCAAAUGGGUACAAGAACCUUUGUGAUGUAUCAUUCCAUCGCUAGCAAAUUUUGGACGGUCACACUCAUUUGGUCCCCACGUUACCCGCAAAAAAUUGUCUUCUCUCUCUGGUUUCCAUCUAUCACUUGUUACAAUGGUCUCGCAUCCCCAAUAUCCACAAAACCAAUAUCCCGGAUAGUUACAAUAGCUUUUCCCUGGGUUUGAGCUGGGGCACCAAUAUGUUCCCCACAAGGAUUUAGAUUUGGAUCCUCCCACCAUGGGGAACAAGUCGCCCACCGUUACGGUAAAAAUCGGGGCACCUGCUGUUGUGUUUUCCUUUAGCACCCGAUCGUCGUUUCUAGGGUCUCGCAAGACCCACCGGAAUGGCUGAUGGGGAUGAUGCUCCGAUCCUGCCUGUCUUACAGUAACAAGUCCUAAGAUCAGGAUCACGCAAAGGCAUCGUGGCCCCCCCCCAUGGGGGCUAUUUUUGGGUUGUUUGGGUUUUACCGGCGCGGAACUCCCAGGUGCGGGCAGGAUGCUUGUCGACUUGUCGCCUUCAUUUGUCGCUGGGGCACACGGGUUACGAGGGCGUCCGACAAUCCAGUUCUGCUUCCAUCCUCCUUGCUGGUCCGGGAGCGUCCUCCCCGCCGGGCUGGUCCUGCCGCUCCGGCCGCCGUUCACCCGACUCCAGGCGACGAAUUCCCAGGUUUCGGCACCACUUGUUGCCUUCUGAGGCGUGGCGGCCUGGCUCAGGAACGGCACGGCGACCAACCCCAGGCCGCUCGGGCCAUCAGCUCACAGACACCAAUGUGGUGGAU
This 2517-nucleotide long non-coding RNA is filed under the name Strigops habroptila (Kakapo). RNAcentral's name for it is "lncRNA (ENSSHBG00005019399.1)". The record is from RNAcentral. Lineage: Eukaryota; Metazoa; Chordata; Aves; Psittaciformes; Psittacidae.